CCAUGGCAAAAGUAAGCAAAGCAUGCUAAGUGUUCUGUUGUUGGCUGCACAGAGCAGCACAGAACACUGUUCCCAGCCUGACAGAAGAGCAAUGGAUUUAUUUUGUUUUCAAUGGAAAUCCACCAGACUGAACGAGGCAAAGCUGCAAAUAAAGACAUUGAUAUCUUUGGCAGAGCAGUGGCGCGCUGGCAACUCCACCGAGCAGCAAGUUUAUCGAGUCGGGACUGGAAAUAAUCAAAAAUAAGAAGGUGUGGACUGAAACCACUGGAGCACGAGACAGGGGUGGAAAAAGAGCCCUUAACGCAGUCUGGCACAAAACAUCAGACUGUCAGCAGUUUAAGCGUUUAAAAUAUUUUUUGUUCAGUUGGGUUUAAAGUACCCUUUCUAAUCUGAAAUCUAUCAAACUAUUUUUAAUGAAUUUAACAUUUAAGACUGUUUUUAAGGUUCAGUUAAAUAUUCUGUGUUAAGGAUCAGAAAAUUAUAAUAAAUUUGAUAUUGAAAAUCCAUGUGUUUUUCAUUUUCAGAAUGCACCUAUUAUGUUUAUGAUGUA
This is a long non-coding RNA of Triplophysa rosa, 550 nucleotides long. RefSeq lists it as uncharacterized. The record is from RefSeq and is a predicted model, not a curated record. The transcript is spliced from 3 exons. Lineage: Eukaryota; Metazoa; Chordata; Actinopteri; Cypriniformes; Nemacheilidae.